This 298-nucleotide signal recognition particle RNA is filed under the name Oncorhynchus kisutch (coho salmon). RNAcentral's name for it is "Metazoan signal recognition particle RNA (ENSOKIG00005032769.1)". It matches the Rfam family "Metazoan signal recognition particle RNA". From Rfam's summary of the family: The signal recognition particle (SRP) is a universally conserved ribonucleoprotein. It is involved in the co-translational targeting of proteins to membranes. Lineage: Eukaryota; Metazoa; Chordata; Actinopteri; Salmoniformes; Salmonidae. The record is from Rfam by way of RNAcentral.
GCCGGGUGCGGUGGCAUGUGCCUGUAAUCCAAGUCACUGGGAGGCUGAGGUUGGUGGAUCAAGUGAGCUGAGGAGCUCUGGGCUGCAGCACACUAUGUGGAACGGGUGUCCACGCUAAGUUCGGUAUCGAUAUGGUGUUCCUGGGGAGCCCGGGACCACCAGGUUGUCUAAGGAGGGGUGAACCGGCCCAGGUCGGAAACGAAGCAGGUCAAAUCCCCCGUGCUGUCCAGUAGUGGGAUAAUACCUGUGAGUAGAUGCUGCAGUGCAGCCUUGGCGAAACAUCGAGACCUAAUCUUUC